RNAcentral lists this long non-coding RNA (237 nucleotides) under Durio zibethinus. RNAcentral describes it as "long non-coding RNA (DZIB_LNC001697)". The record is from RNAcentral. Lineage: Eukaryota; Viridiplantae; Streptophyta; Magnoliopsida; Malvales; Malvaceae.
CCAGCACCAUACCCUGCAUGCACAUAAUCACUAAGCCCUACAACUUUUGAAGGCACUAUCCAACCCUCCCUCAGCACUGCACCCUUGCACAUACACCAUCACCUAGCCUUCAACUAGGAAAAGCACCCACAAUAGCCCUAAAUCUCAAUCACAAUAUCCCUUUUUACCAAGCUUUCUCACCAGACCUCUCCCACCAGUCACCUUGCAUAAGCCAUGUGCACUCACAACCCGAUCCUG